This 482-nucleotide ribosomal RNA is filed under the name uncultured bacterium. Its description in RNAcentral is "partial 16S ribosomal RNA". It matches the Rfam family "Bacterial small subunit ribosomal RNA", at positions 28 to 523 of the family's 1533-position model. The record is from RNAcentral.
GACGAACGCUGGCGGCGCGCCUAACACAUGCAAGUCGAACGAGCGAGAGAGAGCUUGCUUUCUCGAGCGAGUGGCGAACGGGUGAGUAACGCGUGAGGAACCUGCCUCAAAGAGGGGGACAACAGUUGGAAACGACUGCUAAUACCGCAUAAGCCCACGGGUCGGCAUCGACCAGAGGGAAAAGGAGCAAUCCGCUUUGAGAUGGCCUCGCGUCCGAUUAGCUAGUUGGUGAGGUAACGGCCCACCAAGGCGACGAUCGGUAGCCGGACUGAGAGGUUGAACGGCCACAUUGGGACUGAGACACGGCCCAGACUCCUACGGGAGGCAGCAGUGGGGAAUAUUGCACAAUGGGGGAAACCCUGAUGCAGCGACGCCGCGUGGAGGGAGAAGGUCUUCGGAUUGUAAACUCCUGUUGUUGGGGAAGAUAAUGACGGUACCCAACAAGGAAGUGACGGCUAACUACGUGCCAGCAGCCGCGGUAA